Long non-coding RNA from Drosophila sechellia, 1858 nucleotides. RefSeq lists it as uncharacterized. The record is from RefSeq and is a predicted model, not a curated record. The transcript has 3 exons. Lineage: Eukaryota; Metazoa; Arthropoda; Insecta; Diptera; Drosophilidae.
CGAACUGAACACAUAUAUUGACAAAACAUAUUGGCACUAGCUGCAAGUAUUAGAGGUUUUACGUCACAUGGAUAUCCUGAAGAAAUUUUCUUAUAGGUAAAGCUCGAUCUACAAAUAGGAAAAACACUGAGGCUUACGACUAUAUUUCGUCUGUUUGGUGAUUGUGUUGACUCCUCCCCUUCUAAGACGAAGGCUGUCCACAGACUUUUUACAAUUGGCAAAUCUAUUUGAAAGCGGAUCUUACGGGUAACAUUGGUUGUGCUUACAGCUUACUAAUUGCCACUAACUUCCCAUACUGCCAACUUGGUACUGCGUUAAACCAUCGAAGGGAAGGCAGCUCUGCAUAUCUGGAUGAUCCGAGAAGUUCGUAAAUGCGGUUGAUUCUCCAUGUCAUGGGUUCGCAACAAGGUUCUGGAGAUGAUCGUAGCGAACUUGGAAAAAAUCUUUAUUGUAACCGUCGACUUAUUGACGCUGAUGCUGAUGUUGGUUGAACUAGUAGACCAUCAAAACGUAUUUGUUGAACGCACUCUGGAUUGCGUCUGAUGGCAGAUAUUCAGUUCGUCGUUUCAGUACCCAGGCGCAGAAAUAGUUGCCGCAUCUGUACGUCUUUAGCAGAUAGAUCUUAAUUCCCUCUUCUACUCUUCUCAUCUACUUAAGAGGUUAGAGUUGAUUAGCCAAUGCCGAUGGUUUUGUCUCCGGAUCCUCCUUUUGUUAUUUAUUUAUAAUUAUCGUAGGUUUUAAUAUCCGUUUGGGCGCCAAUUAUUGUUGAAUAGAUUUUCAAUAUAUUUAUUAGUGUAGGUUUAUUAAUUAUAAUAGGGCUUGUGCGGUUUGCACUUAAUGAGGCGAAUUGUAAGUACGUGGCGAUGACCGACGCUUCUAAUCUCCCAAAAUCGACUGACUUAAGUAUAGCAAGAGUUCUUAUCUCAACAGCUUAAUCUACUAAUAACAAAGUACAGUUUCUUAUAGGAAUAUACUUGAGGCUUAUAGGAAAAAUACUUGAGGCUUACGACUAUAUUUCGUCUGUUUGGUGAUUGUGUUAACUUGCAUAAACAUAUACAAACACACACAUCAUUACUACUGUGUGUGCAGUUUGGUUGCCGGUGCAAAUACAGGGCUUGUAAAACUGUUCACCAUUGUGCGUGCAUUCUACAUUGACCGGUUCAAAAUUCAGUGCGUGAAUUAUUAAAAUAAAUUAAAAUGUCAAACAACGACACAGUCAGUUUGCCAGCUGACAGAAUAACAUUUUUAAAGCACAAAAAAAAGCUGCAGGAUUAACCACCGAAUCGGUCACUUGCCAGAAUGAUUAUGGCCUGCAUUUAAAGCUCAAGAUCGCUUACAGGAGGCAAAAAGGUUGGCUUUAUGCCAAAACUGCCUUAAGAGUGGACAUCACCUACGACAUUGUAAUGCCGAUCGCUGUCGUAUUUGUGGAAGUAAGCACAACAAAUUGCUACAUUCGUUGCCAACAUCGCAGCUUUGGUAGCUCUACUAUCACGGACAAACAGCCCAACCUAACUGUAAAUUCUGAGGACUGGAAAAUACCAGCUAAUCUUAAUCUUAAUAAUCUAAUUCUUCAGGCCCCAAAAAAUUGACUUGCUGAUAAGCGCUAGUCUUUUUCAAAUAAAAUUGGCAGAUGGACUUCCCAUUCUCAAAAAAACUCGUUUUGGAUGGAUUAUCACCGGUGGUGGCUCAAACCAAAGACACUAGAAUAACAAGAUGCGUAACGGCCAUACAAUGGUUUGGCACUAUGCAGCCACUUUUUUGGUGACGGCCUAAAUUGGUCUCUGUCCGUUUGCUUACGCUGAGAGCGUAAGAAAUCUAAAAAUAGAAUUUGCUUGCUUAUGUGAGUAAAAACAAUAGA